GAGGAGCGAAAUUCUUCAAAACCUGAGGAUAGCAAUCCCGGGGAACGAAAUGCUUCAAAACCUGAGGAUAGCAAUCCCGAGGAGCGAAAUGCUUCAAAGCCCGAGGAGCAAAAUGCUUCAAAACCUGAGGAUAGCAAUCCCAAGGAGCGAAAUGCUUCAAAGCCCGAGGAGCGAAAUGCUGCAAAGCCCGAGGAGUGAAAUGCUUCAAAACUUGAGGAUAGCAAUUGUUGAGAACUCCCUAGUUUUUUACUUCCCCGAGGACUCGUGUAUAAAGUUUGCUCAAUUUUUUAGUAUUCAUGGUUGUACUAAUUUUGUGUUGUAAUAUCAACAGCUUCUUAUUUGAAUGUUCAUACGUGUAACAUCUAGAAAAGUUAAAGAUUAUUUUAGAUCUCCCUGAUCCCCUUCCAUUUACGUCUUGUUGAAGUUUUUUUUUUUUACAUUAACCUCUGUUUCCAUUUGUUAUUUUAGUUGGAGCAAUAUAUUUUGUAAGGGUAUUAGAAAUCCUAUUAAGAUUAUGUUCUUUUUGCCAUUCCUUUGAUCAAUUAUG
RNAcentral lists this long non-coding RNA (547 nucleotides) under Triticum aestivum (bread wheat). RNAcentral describes it as "long non-coding RNA (TAES_LNC012181)". The record is from RNAcentral. Lineage: Eukaryota; Viridiplantae; Streptophyta; Magnoliopsida; Poales; Poaceae.